This 497-nucleotide ribosomal RNA is filed under the name uncultured bacterium. Its description in RNAcentral is "partial 16S ribosomal RNA". It matches the Rfam family "Bacterial small subunit ribosomal RNA", at positions 28 to 507 of the family's 1533-position model. The record is from RNAcentral.
GACGAACGCUGGCGGCGUGCCUAAUACAUGCAAGUUGAGCGAAGAAGAUUGGUGCUUGCACCAAUUUGAAGAGCAGCGAACGGGUGAGUAACGCGUGGGGAAUCUGCCUUUGAGCGGGGGACAACAUCUGGAAACGAAUGCUAAUACCGCAUAAUAACUUUAAACAUAAGUUUUAAGUUUGAAAGAUGCAAUUGCAUCACUCAAAGAUGAUCCCGCGUUGUAUUAGCUAGUUGGUGAGGUAAAGGCUCACCAAGGCGAUGAUACAUAGCCGGCCUGAGAGGGGUAUCCGCCACCUCGGGACUUGGACACCGCCCAAACUCCUUCGGGAGGCAGCAGUAAGGAAUUUUCGGCCAUGGACGAAAGUCUGACCGGGCAACGCCGCGUGAGUGAAGAAGGUUUUCCGAUCGUAAAACUCUUUUUGUAGAGAAAAACGUUAUUGGGAGUUGAAAGCUCAUCAAGUGACGGUACCUACCCAGAAAGCGACGGCUAACUACGUG